AUGAGGGCUCCUGCUCAUCUCCUGGGGCUGCUGCUGCUCUGGAUCCCAGGUUCCAGUUGUGAUAUCCAGUUGACCCAGUCUCCAUCUCAGACUGUAUCACUAAAAGACACAGUCAGCAUCAACUGUCAAGUCAGUCAGAGACUUAGCAGAACAUUAAGUUGGUAUCAGCAAAAACCAGGGCAAUCUCCUAAGCUCCUAGUCUAUGAAGCAUCCAGUUGGUCUCCUGGGGUCCCCUCAAGGUCCAGUGGCAGUGAGUCUGGGACAGAUUUUACACUCAGCACCAGCAGUUUGGAGCCAGAAGAUAUUGGAACUUAUUACUGUCAACAGUACUGGAGUUAUCCACCCACUUUUGGGGGGGGGUUUCAAGUCAGGGUU
Molecule: non-coding RNA, 375 nt
Organism: Cricetulus griseus (Chinese hamster)
Lineage: Eukaryota; Metazoa; Chordata; Mammalia; Rodentia; Cricetidae
Source: the annotation of a RefSeq genome assembly